GAAGAUGGAAUCCACUGAGGAAGGAAGGCCUAGGUCUUCAGCACCGUGUGUGCCAGCCCAGAAGCAGCAGUGUGAAAGCCUCUGCAACAUCUCCUGUAGACCCCUAAAAAUCAGGGGGGGUUGGAUUUGGACAUCCUCAGUAGGAAUGGUUAAGCGCUGAUGGGAUCAUAAACAGAUGAUGCCAGAUAGUUGAUAAAUCCUAUAGCUCAACUUGAUUCCUAGAUACAAGCUGGAUUCAUUUGAUACCACAGAAAUGAAACUUCGGGAGACUAGAUUGGAGUCUCACUUCUUUCCCAGCCUGGAACUCUUGGGAGCUCAUGAAGGUAGAUGAUUCUUCAAAUUAAAGAUGGACACUGACUUUUCUCACCAGAAAUGGUUUAUAGAAUCAACUUUCAAAAAUGCAAGAGGCAGCAAAAAAAAUGAGUAAAAUAUUUUCUUCUAUUAUUCUUUGAUUGUUUGCUAAAUUGUAAACUCCAUGAAAGCAGGAUAACUUGCUUAUCUGUAACGCCUGGCCCAGAAUAGAUACUCAAAAAAUAUUUGAAGUUGGGCUUCCCUGGUGGCGCAGUGGUUGAGAAUCUGCCUGCCAAUGCAGGGGACAUGGGUUCGAGCCCUGGUCUGGGAAGAUCCCACAUGCCACGGAGUAACUAAGCCCAUGAGCCACAAUUACUGAGCCUGCGCGUCUGGAGCCUGUGCUCCUCAACAAGAGAGGCCGUGAUAGUGAGAGGCCCGCGCACCGUGAUGAAGAGUGGCCCCCGCUUGCCACAACUAGAGAAAGCCCUCGCACAGAAACGAAGACCCAACACAGCCAUAAAUAAAUAAAUAAAUAAAUAAAUGAAGCAUGACACAAAUUAAGCAAUGUGAAUACCAUCAAGCUUUCAUCAUCAUAAAAAAAAUAUUUUAAGUUAAUUAAAAUUUCUGUAGAAUUUUGUGUUUUUUUAAUCCCUGGAAAAUAACAACCAUUUUAAUGACAUUUCAGCAAGACAAUUACAUGGAAUAACUGGGACUUAAAUUUUGACUCUGAUGUAGAAACUAUCUGGAUACCAAUGAGUCUACUUAAUAUCUGAUUAUGAUGCUUGAUCCUUUAAGAGGCAAUGAAGAAUGGCUGCCAAAACAAACUGUGUAUGUGAGGAAUAGAUAUAUAAAAGCUUACUAAUAUUUAGUAGGAAAUCUUUUAUUAUGUACAUUUCAUUGGAAAUUUUUCAUUGAUUUAAAUUGCACAUACGACUCAGGUAUGAUUAAAAAGUUUUUUUUUUUUUGCUUUAUAUUUAAUGUUGAAAUAUUCUCAAUUGUUUCGGCUAAAUUAUACUUUACAGAUAUUUUUGCCCUAUAUUCUUUAUUUACAUCCAUGAGGGUAUAUUUAACAUGCAAGGGAUACAAAAUAUACAUCCAAAUAUUGGAAGUUUGGUAUACUUCACUGUGUUUUGGAAUGAAAUUUAAUAUUUGUGCUUAUGCCAGAAUCACACAAAUGGUAUGCAACUAUAAUAACUUCUGUUAGAAUAUGAAACCUAUUCUUUAGAUUCUUCUAUUAAAACAAAUAUAAGUAUCAAAUUAGUUUUAGAGUAGAUGAUGCUGACAGUCAGAUUCAAAGAUAAUAAGGGGGGAAGAUUAUUAUCUCUGAAGCUCUUAGAGAAACGUGGUGCAUAAAUACUCAUAAUAUAGCCAAUAUGUACUUAAAAUAUCUGAAUAAGAUCAAAAUCAAACUUCAUGGUAAAAAUACCAUUUUGAAAGGUAAAGUAACCUGCAGUUAAAUGGUAUAAGUGAUAUGUAAGCACAAAUUGUGCUUUCAGAGUUUAUCCAGACUUCUUAGGAAGAAUGGAUUAAAGAUCUAUAAAUGAAAAGCAAAACUUUAAACCUGUAGAAAAGCAAAGACUAUGACACUGGAGUACACAUAAAGCACAAAAAGGAAAGAUCGAUAAAUUUGUAUACAAUAAAAUUCAAACUUAUGUUUACACAUCAUGUAACUGACAAAGUCUCCAUUUAAAUGAAGAAAAUGAUCAAAGGAUAUGAAUGGACAAUACAGAGAUGAGGAUCCCUGAGUAGUAAUUCACAUGAAAAGAUGCUUUAUCUAACUAGUAAUAAAAGAUUUCCACAUUAAAACAACACUGAGAUACCAUUUCACUGCCAUCAGAUGGGCAAAAAUGAAAACAAAACAAAACAAAACAACCUCGACACUUAAACGUGUUGCCGAGGCUGGAGUAGUGGGCUCUCAUCUUUGCUGGUGGCAGUGAAAUUUAUGUUACUACUUUAGAGAAUGGUUUGGCAACAUCUAGUUUAUUGGAAGAUGCUUAUACUUGGUCUUUGAGUAUUAUAUUCUAUAAGAAUUCUUGACAUGUGUAUUCAAGGAGGCAUGUACAGAAAGUUCA
This is an RNA transcript of Balaenoptera acutorostrata (minke whale), 2363 nucleotides long. It is a transcript of the gene named cyclin B1 interacting protein 1, with no coding region annotated. NCBI's taxonomy places the organism in Eukaryota, Metazoa, Chordata, Mammalia, Artiodactyla, Balaenopteridae. The record is from RefSeq and is a predicted model, not a curated record. The transcript has 5 exons.